AGUUUUAUGAGAAUAUAUAAAAUGAAUUCUGCCCAAUGAUUAGUUUAAUGGCCGCAGUACUUUAACUGUGCUAAGGUAGCAUAAUAAUUUGGCUUUUAAUUAAGGUCUGGUAUGAAAGGAUUUUAUGGGUAAUAACUGUCUUUAUUUAACUUUUAAAAAUUUACUUAAAAGGUGAAAAUUCCUUUAAUAUUAAAAUAGACGAGAAGACCCUAGGAGUUUUCAUUUUGUUGGGGCGACAUUUUAGUAAAUAACCUAAGAAAAAAAUUUGACGGAUAUAUCAAUUAUAAAUAAACUACCCUAGGGAUAACAGCAUAAUAAUAUUUUUGUUUGUGACCUCGAUGUUGGACUAGG
RNAcentral lists this ribosomal RNA (351 nucleotides) under Allenoconcha basispiralis. RNAcentral's name for it is "partial large subunit ribosomal RNA". It matches the Rfam family "Bacterial large subunit ribosomal RNA", at positions 1832 to 2541 of the family's 2925-position model. The record is from RNAcentral. Lineage: Eukaryota; Metazoa; Mollusca; Gastropoda; Stylommatophora; Microcystidae.